AUUGAACGCUGGCGGCAGGCCUAACACAUGCAAGUCGAACGGUAACGGGAAGAAGCUUGCUUCUUUGCUGACGAGUGGCGGACGGGUGAGUAAUGUCUGGGAAACUGCCUGAUGGAGGGGGAUAACUACUGGAAACGGUAGCUAAUACCGCAUAACGUCGCAAGACCAAAGAGGGGGACCUUCGGGCCUCUUGCCAUCGGAUGUGCCCAGAUGGGAUUAGCUAGUAGGUGGGGUAACGGCUCACCUAGGCGACGAUCCCUAGCUGGUCUGAGAGGAUGACCAGCCACACUGGAACUGAGACACGGUCCAGACUCCUACGGGAGGCAGCAGUGGGGAAUAUUGCACAAUGGGCGCAAGCCUGAUGCAGCCAUGCCGCGUGUAUGAAGAAGGCCUUCGGGUUGUAAAGUACUUUCAGCGGGGAGGAAGGGAGUAAAGUUAAUACCUUGGCUCAUUGACGUUACCCGCAGAAGAAGCACCGGCUAACUCCGUG
Molecule: ribosomal RNA, 490 nt
Filed under: uncultured bacterium
Lineage: Bacteria
Description: partial 16S ribosomal RNA
Rfam family: Bacterial small subunit ribosomal RNA
Source: RNAcentral